CCUACGGGUGGCAGCAGUGAGGAAUAUUGGUCACUGGGCGCGAGCCUGAACCAGCCAAGUAGCGUGAAGGAUGACUGCCCUACGGGUUGUAAACUUCUUUUAUAAAGGAAUAAAGUGAGGCACGUGUGCCUUUUUGUAUGUACUUUAUGAAUAAGGAUCGGCUAACUCCGUGCCAGCAGCCGCGGUAAUACGGAGGAUCCGAGCGUUAUCCGGAUUUCUUGGGUUUAAAGGGAGCGUAGAUGGGUUUUUAAGUCAGUUGUGAAUGUUUGCGGCUCAACCGUAAAAUUGCAAUUGAUACUGGCAGUCUUGAGUAUAUUUGAGGUAGGCGGAAUGCGUGGUGUAGCGGUGAAAGGCUUAGAUAUCACGAAGAACUCCGAUUGCGAAGGCAGCUUACUAAGCUGCCACUGACAUUGAUGCUCGAAAGUGUGGGUAUCAAACAGGAUUAGAUACCCGAGUAGUC
RNAcentral lists this ribosomal RNA (460 nucleotides) under uncultured bacterium. RNAcentral's name for it is "partial 16S ribosomal RNA". It matches the Rfam family "Bacterial small subunit ribosomal RNA", at positions 338 to 795 of the family's 1533-position model. The record is from RNAcentral.